CAGCCUGCCCAGUGACACAAUUCAACGGCCACGGUAUCCUAACCGUGCGAAGGUAGCAUAAUCACUUGUUCUUUAAAUGAGGACUCGAAUCAACGGCAUCACGAGGGUUAUACUGUCUCCUUUUUCUAAUCAGUGAAACUAAUCUCCCCGUGAAGAAGCGGGGAUAUUUUUAUAAGACGAGAAGACCCCAUGGAGCUUCAAACCCAACUACACCUCUGAUUAUUAUAGCCCUCUAAACCUCAGAACCCUGCACAGUUGGUUUUAGGUUGGGGCGACCACGGAGUACAACAAAACCUCCACAAUGAAGGGGAUAUUCCCUCAUCUAAGAACCACAAUUCCAAGAACUAGUAUACUAACAUAAAAUGAUCCAUUAACAUGAUCAAUGAACCAAGUUACCCUGGGGAUAACAGCGCAAUCCAUUUCAAGAGCUCCUAUCGACAAAUGGGUUUACGACCUCGAUGUUGGAUCAGGAUGUCCCAGUGGUGCAGCAGCUACUAACGGUUCGUUUGUUCAACGAUUAAAAUCCU
This 527-nucleotide ribosomal RNA is filed under the name Mantidactylus tricinctus. Its description in RNAcentral is "partial large subunit ribosomal RNA". It matches the Rfam family "Bacterial large subunit ribosomal RNA", at positions 1854 to 2597 of the family's 2925-position model. Lineage: Eukaryota; Metazoa; Chordata; Amphibia; Anura; Mantellidae. The record is from RNAcentral.